AGCGAACGCUGGCGGCAGGCUUAACACAUGCAAGUCGAGCGGGCCCUUCGGGGUCAGCGGCGGACGGGUGAGUAACGCGUGGGAACGUGCCUUCUGGUUCGGAAUAACUCAGGGAAACUGAGCUAAUACCGGAUACGCCCUUUUGGGGAAAGGUUUACUGCCGGAAGAUCGGCCCGCGUCUGAUUAGCUAGUUGGUGGGGUAACGGCCCACCAAGGCGACGAUCAGUAGCUGGUCUGAGAGGAUGAUCAGCCACACUGGGACUGAGACACGGCCCAGACUCCUACGGGAGGCAGCAGUGGGGAAUAUUGGACAAUGGGCGCAAGCCUGAUCCAGCCAUGCCGCGUGAGUGAUGAAGGCCUUAGGGUUGUAAAGCUCUUUUAUCCGGGACGAUAAUGACGGUACCGGAGGAAUAAGCCCCGGCUAACUUCGUGCCAGCAGCCGCAGUAA
Molecule: ribosomal RNA, 448 nt
Filed under: uncultured bacterium
Lineage: Bacteria
Description: partial 16S ribosomal RNA
Rfam family: Bacterial small subunit ribosomal RNA
Source: RNAcentral